Molecule: ribosomal RNA, 319 nt
Filed under: uncultured eukaryote
Lineage: Eukaryota
Description: partial 18S ribosomal RNA
Rfam family: Eukaryotic small subunit ribosomal RNA
Source: RNAcentral
CCCUUAGAUGUUCUGGGCAGCACGCGCGCUACAAUGGUCUUCGCAAACGGAUGCAUUCUCGAAGGAGAAUGCCAAUCUUGGAAUCUAUGCCUUGGUCGGGACAGUUGCUUGCAAUUUUUCGACUCGAACCAGGAAUUCCUUGUAAUCGUGAUUCAUCACAUCACGAUGAAUACGUCCCUGCCCUUUGUACACACCGCCCGUUGCUCCUACCGAUCGAAGAGUUAGGUGAAUUGUUUUGAUCGAUAAGAUUUGACUAUGGUCAACUCUCGUUGUGAAAUUCUGUGAAUCUGACUGUUUAGAGGAAGGAAAAGUCGUAACA